CGUGAUUUCAGCGCCCAGCCUGAGAUCCCCAUAGCUAGCACUAACCGCAUACUGCAUUUAUUGAUCAUCAGCCACGUGCAGCCCUUAGCUGCAGCCUGGGGUGCAGCCAGCCCACCGGAGGUGGACUCCACACCCCUGUGGGCCAGGGACAGGGAGGGAAAGCAAGGGCUAAACUAUAUUUUACUCCUCUGGCUCCAUCUGCCCUGCUUUACCCGCUUUGCCUGCAGCCUCAUGAAAUGGGAGAAGAGCAAGGCAUUGCAGCAGCUCCCCCUUCCGUGCUCGCUGAGGAUGCCCAUGCUUUCCUCUGCGUGGGGACCUUCCAGACCCCCGCGGGCUUUUCUGCCCUCGGGGAACAGGAAAGAGAUGAUCGGAGAAGCAGGGAGUCUGCAUAGCAGGGUGAAGAGACCUGCACUGCAUAGCCUCGUGGGGGACAGUACAUGGGAUGAAAGCUGCGCGGAUAAGUUGUGGUGGCUGUGGAACACGGCAUAUGGAGAGAGGCUGUUACCCAUGACUCGCUGCGUAGCCACACGCAUCCACCGCAGCUGCUGGGUAACACAGAUUUGCUGCAUAUGUGUGUGCUUGCACUGGCGUUUGGGUUUUACUUAGGCUCACUAUCAUUCUACCAUUUACUUUUUUUUACAGACAAAGGAACUUUUGAGAUAUCAUUUUAAAUAAGUUUGUAACCUGGAAUUUGUACACGCAGCUGAGGUUCUAUGUCCAAUGAAGUCAAUGGGAGACUGAUAUCAACAAGGCGACCAUUUCAUCUUGGGAAGGCUUACACAGAUGUUUCACCUGACGCAUUUUCUUUAAUUGAGACUUGUUUAAAGUUGAGAAUGUGCACAAGUCUGCAAGGUCUGACAUCCCUCAACAAGGGAAAAGAAGAGGGAAAUAGGCUUCCAAAUGAAGUAUUAGACAAUACCUAAUGUGAAAUCAUUUGGGAUCUCUGCUGUUCCUUGAUUAUGGUUUGUUCUGGUACUAGAACUGGAGGCUGUUUCUGAAGGAGCAGUAUCAGUAGAGAAGUUUUAUUGCUCAGCAGGCAACAAA
RNAcentral lists this long non-coding RNA (1044 nucleotides) under Struthio camelus australis. RNAcentral's name for it is "lncRNA (ENSSCUG00000009492.1)". Lineage: Eukaryota; Metazoa; Chordata; Aves; Struthioniformes; Struthionidae. The record is from RNAcentral.